AUGGCCCAAAGUCACCUUGUCUGGAGCAGAGUCAGCAGGGCUGAUCCAUGGCUCUCUGAGGACAGAUUCCAGCCAGGGCAGGUUUUUAUGAAGAUCUUUUCUUCUACUGGUGCUGGGUACCACAGAGCUCCCAGCAGCCUUCAGCUGCCACCUCCCCACAGCAGCCUCCUCCCAAAGUCACCUCUCACCUGGACUGUUGCAAUCGGUCAUCUUCCCUAUAUCUUCUCCCCUCUCCAAACCAGUUCCCACACUGCAGCCGACAUUAAACACUUAAAGAAUAAGUCUGACUGGUUCAUGGCACCUCUGCUUGAGACUCCAAUGACUCCCUCUUGCCUCAGACUUGUGUGCUGUAGCCUAGGCUGUCCUCAUGCCCAAAGCAUGGAAAUCCUGUCUUCAUAUCUGCUUCUUGCAACCCAGGUUCCCUUGUGAUGGAAUUCUACUGUGCUAUAAGAAAUGACAAACAGGUUGGCUUUAGAAAAAACAUGAAAAGACUUGCAUGAAAUCCUGCAAAGUGAAAGGAGCAGAACCACGAGAAUGUAAACAGCAACAGAAAUAUCAUUCGAAGAAUUAUUGUGAAUGACUAAGCUAUUCUGAGUAAUUGAAAAUAUAAAUCAGCUAUGAAGGAAAAUGCAAUCCACAUCCAGAAAAGAACCGAUAGAGGGAAAUAGGCAUUGCACGGUUCUACUUAUUUAUCCAUAUCAACUGCUGACCUUCUCUAAUGUGAGGCUGGAAGGGAGGGAACUCGAAAUGUAACCAAAAUAUUUUAAUUUAAAAAAAGGAUUCAGCCUUCCUUCAGGGCUUAACUCAGUUCUACUUGAAGUCUUUCCUGAUUCUCCAAAGCUGCUAGUAUCUGCCCAUCUUUCUAAUGUUAUUUUACAUUUAUUUUGCAUUUUACUCAUCUGUGUCCAUGCCAUUUCCCCCAAAUAGGCUAUAGUAACCUCGAAGAGAGCAAGGGAUAUUUUUCAGGAAUGUCUGAGAUCAGAUUUGAACCUUGGUCCUCCCAACUCCAGGUCUGGCUCUCUAUCUCCUGAAUCACCUAGCUGCCCCUCACCCCAUAAAUAUUGAUAGAGGCAACUAGAUGACACAAUGGAUCUUUUUCCUUUGGCCCUAAUAUUCCUAGUGCUUAGCCUAUAAUGCCUAGGAGAUUUUAGGGAGGGAUCUAGACCUGUGAUUUCAUUUGUAAAGCUAUUGAAUAACCAAGAAGGGACUAGAAUACUCAUUUCUUAAAUUCUAGUCCCAUACAUAACUCUCUGGAGUUUGGAGGAAGAAGGAUCAUUUUGUUAUCCAAACUAGUCACAAAGUAAUCAUUGCUAUUCUUUCUUGUUUGCUCAUCAUGGCAUAGAUCCUCUUUUGGAUUGUUUCAGCAAGGAGUUCCUCUUUCCUGUGCCCAUCAAUAAAUAUAUAUGCAUAUAAAUAUGUAUGUGUAUA
Molecule: long non-coding RNA, 1428 nt
Filed under: Monodelphis domestica (gray short-tailed opossum)
Lineage: Eukaryota; Metazoa; Chordata; Mammalia; Didelphimorphia; Didelphidae
Description: lncRNA (ENSMODG00000032158.2)
Source: RNAcentral